Molecule: ribosomal RNA, 446 nt
Filed under: uncultured bacterium
Lineage: Bacteria
Description: partial 16S ribosomal RNA
Rfam family: Bacterial small subunit ribosomal RNA
Source: RNAcentral
CCUACGGGAGGCAGCAGUCGAGAAUCAUUCACAAUGGGGGAAACCCUGAUGGUGCGACGCCGCGUGGGGGAAUGAAGGUCUUCGGAUUGUAAACCCCUGUCAUGUGGGAGCAAAUUAAAAAGAUAGUACCACAAGAGGAAGAGACGGCUAACUCUGUGCCAGCAGCCGCGGUAAUACAGAGGUCUCAAGCGUUGUUCGGCAUUACUGGGCGUAAGGGGUGCGUAGGCUGUUUCGUAAGUCGUGUGUGAAAGGCGCGGGCUCAACCCGCGGACGGCACAUGAUACUGCGAGACUAGAGUAAUGGAGGGGGAACCGGAAUUCUCGGUGUAGCAGUGAAAUGCGUAGAUAUCGAGAGGAACACUCGUGGCGAAGGCGGGUUCCUGGACAUUAACUGACGCUGAGGCACGAAGGCCAGGGGAGCGAAAGGGAUUAGAUACCCCAGUAGUC